This 222-nucleotide ribosomal RNA is filed under the name uncultured bacterium. Its description in RNAcentral is "partial 16S ribosomal RNA". It matches the Rfam family "Bacterial small subunit ribosomal RNA", at positions 524 to 744 of the family's 1533-position model. The record is from RNAcentral.
UACGUAGGGUCCGAGCGUUGUCCGGAAUUACUGGGCGUAAAGAGCUCGUAGGUGGUUUGUCGCGUUGUUCGUGAAAACUCACAGCUCAACUGUGGGCGUGCGGGCGAUACGGGCAGACUAGAGUACUGCAGGGGAGACUGGAAUUCCUGGUGUAGCGGUGGAAUGCGCAGAUAUCAGGAGGAACACCGGUGGCGAAGGCGGGUCUCUGGGCAGUAAACUGAC